Molecule: ribosomal RNA, 253 nt
Filed under: uncultured bacterium
Lineage: Bacteria
Description: partial 16S ribosomal RNA
Rfam family: Bacterial small subunit ribosomal RNA
Source: RNAcentral
UACGUAGGGUGCAGGCGUUAAUCGGAAUUACUGGGCGUAAAGCGUGCGCAGGCGGUUUGCUAAGGCAGGUGUGAAAUCCCCGGGCUUAACCUGGGAACUGCGCUUGUAACUGGCAAGCUUGAGUGUGGCAGAGGGGGGUGGAAUUCCACGUGUAGCAGUGAAAUGCGUAGAGAUGUGGAGGAACACCGAUGGCGAAGGCAGCCCCCUGGGCUAACACUGACGCUCAUGCACGAAAGCGUGGGGAGCAAACAGG